RNAcentral lists this small RNA (1359 nucleotides) under uncultured cyanobacterium. RNAcentral describes it as "bacterial SSU rRNA". The stretch from base 1 to 314 matches the Rfam family "Bacterial small subunit ribosomal RNA", at positions 1221 to 1533 of the family's 1533-position model. The record is from RNAcentral. Lineage: Bacteria; Bacillati; Cyanobacteriota.
CGUACUACAAUGCUACGGACAAAGGGCAGCAAACUCGCGAGAGCUAGCAAAUCCCAUAAACCGUGGCUCAGUUCAGAUCGUAGGCUGCAACUCGCCUACGUGAAGGAGGAAUCGCUAGUAAUCGCAGGUCAGCAUACUGCGGUGAAUACGUUCCCGGGCCUUGUACACACCGCCCGUCACACCAUGGAAGUUGGCCACGCCCGAAGUCGUUACUCCAACCCUUGUGGAGGAGGAUGCCGAAGGUGGGGCUGAUGACUGGGGUGAAGUCGUAACAAGGUAGCCGUACCGGAAGGUGCGGCUGGAUCACCUCCUAACAGGGAUACAAUAACUAAUUGUGAUGUCUGAGUAAUUUAUUCUCAGGCCAUGAUUCUGUCAUCUCUAAGGUCGAUCGGUGCCUCAAUUUGAGAAUUCAAGAAGAACUGAGCAAUCAGUUUAGAGAUGAAGGUUCUUGAUUUUAGUUCCUAAACUUUGUCUAGGUCCCCCCCACAGCGGGUAAAGCCGAGAGCACAUGUAAUUUNAAUUAUUUGUGUUUGAUCUGGCAAGCCGAAAGGCGAGCUAGGUUGCGGCGAGAGCUCCUGGGCCAUUAGCUCAGGUGGUUAGAGCGCACCCCUGAUAAGGGUGAGGUCCCUGGUUCAAGUCCAGGAUGGCCCAUUCGUGUUUGGGGGUUUAGCUCAGUUGGUAGAGCGCCUGCUUUGCAAGCAGGAUGUCAGCGGUUCGAGUCCGCUAACCUCCAUCCAAUAAUGACGCUCAUCCCUCAAUCUGUAACUGUAAAUUUAGCAGUAAGGAGUUUUGCUGUGGUUUGUGAUCUUGACUGUUGUUCGCUGAAGAUUUCAGCUUCUUUUCAUUCUUAAUGAGUUAACCAGAUAGCUGGUUAGUCAGUUUAGUUGAAAAGACGCUGGAUUCAAUCCUGCCCUGGAGACAGGGCUGUUUGAAUGUCAGCAGAACCUUGACAACUGCAUAGGUAAAGUCUGGAAAUAAAGCAUCUCAUGGAUGCUUGAUUCCGGCUUGAGUUUCAUCCAGCAAUGGAUAGGGCUUAAGGCUGGUAUCAAGAAAAUUCUAUUGAGUUUUUAGAGCCGAGAGCUUCCAGUUUUCUUCUGAGCCCGCCGAGGGUUUGGGAGUUUGAUCCUGGCAUUCAAACCGCAUUAGGUAUUCAAAGAGAUUUGAGUAUUAAGUGUAGGUGAAUCUAGAGAGAAUAGGCCUCAACAGCCUGAAGGACUGGGAGUUGAAAUUGGUCAAGCUACAAAGGGCUCACGGUGGAUACCUUGGCACACAGAGGCGAUGAAGGACGUGGUUACCUGCGAUAAGUCUCGGGGAGCUGGAAACACGCUUUGAUCCGGGAAUUUCCGAAUGGGGCAACCC